GACGAACGCUGGCGGCGUGCUUAACACAUGCAAGUCGAACGGAAAGGCCCUGCUUUUGUGGGGUGCUCGAGUGGCGAACGGGUGAGUAACACGUGAGUAACCUGCCCUUGACUUUGUGAUAACUUCAGGAAACUGGGGCUAAUACCGGAUAGGAGCUCCUGCUGCAUGGUGGGGGUUGGAAAGUUUCGGCGGUUGGGGAUGGACUCGCGGCUUAUCAGCUUGUUGGUGGGGUAGUGGCUUACCAAGGCUUUGACGGGUAGCCGGCCUGAGAGGGUGACCGGGCACAUUGGGACUGAGGUACGGACCAGACUCCUACGGGAGGCAGCAGUGGGGAAUAUUGCACAAUGGGCGGAAGCCUGAGGCAGCAACGCCGCGUGCGGGAUGACGGCCUUCGGGUUGUAAACCGCUUUCGCCUGUGACGAAGAGUGAGUGACGGUAAUGGGUAAAGAAGCACCGGCUAACUACGUG
RNAcentral lists this ribosomal RNA (468 nucleotides) under uncultured bacterium. Its description in RNAcentral is "partial 16S ribosomal RNA". It matches the Rfam family "Bacterial small subunit ribosomal RNA", at positions 28 to 507 of the family's 1533-position model. The record is from RNAcentral.